Hemicordylus capensis (graceful crag lizard) is the source of this 1779-nucleotide long non-coding RNA. RefSeq lists it as uncharacterized. The transcript is spliced from 6 exons. The record is from RefSeq and is a predicted model, not a curated record. NCBI's taxonomy places the organism in Eukaryota, Metazoa, Chordata, Lepidosauria, Squamata, Cordylidae.
UCUACCACAGAGCUUGUGGUGGUCAGUGGUGUGCCUGAGCCAGCUCAGGGAGGGUUGGAGUCUGGCUUGAGGAUUCUUCUGAAGCAGUUGACUAGCUGGCUUUUAUUGCAAGACAGAGAACACAAGAUCUCUUCAUCGAUCCUGCAAGGUGGCUGUAGUAUUUUGCCUUGAAAGACUGGAAGUUCCCUCCAUGAGAACCUGGGAGGACAAGGAUGGCCUCCUGUGCUGUUCUGCAGAGAGGAGCAGCCUUCGAUGGUGAGCAAAGAAGCAGUAGCGCAGCCCCCUCUCGGGAGCAGCACCUGGCUCUAGAAUGCUGCCAUGAAUGUCUUCAACUCGCUGCAUUGUAUGUAUUGAAGAGAUUGGAUAUGCUGCACUUGUUGAUCAUCCAUGAUGGACACAACAGCCUCUAUUUGUGUCCUGGAAGGGGCAGAGAGAAGAACUGGCACAGGCCCAGCCCUGGCAGCAGCACGAUCAUCUAGAAUGCCAGAAACCAGCUCUGCUCCUCCCUGCCACUGGAGCAGGCUUUGAAGGGGUUGAAAGAAGCAAGACCACGGUGCCUCCCUCAGCAGCACUCUCUCUGGCAGUCAGCUCCUGGUGUUCUGCAGGGCAGCCUUGGAAGUGAUAGGAAGAAUUCGUGUGGUCCAUGAUGAAGGAAAACCAGGUUCUGGCUGGUCCAGGCCUGUGCAUGUCGAUAGUUGGCAAUAAAUGUAAGUGCUGUUAUGAAUGUAACAACCAUUUUUGGGUUAUGCCUUUUGCACACAGUUAGUAUGCUGCUGUAUCGAGUGAGAUGGUGAACUAGUUCUCUGAAUGGCCACUGAUGCCAAACACAAAUUAUCACUUGUGUUUCUGGGUUGAGGGACACUUCACACCAUCACAGCCCGAUCUGCCAGCUGAUAGGCUAAGUGUCUGGUUGUUUCCGGCUGGUGGACUGCAUGGAGCCUCGGCCUACUUGUCAGUCUUGGGGAACACCACAGAGUGACGAUAGGUGGAAAUCAAAGUGUCCAGGGACAGACUCUCCAGUUGGAUUUGUGUGCCAAUGCUAUGGCACUUGAUCUACCCAGUACAUGCAGAAGUGGAGCCAGAUGAUUUAGUUUCCUAGCACUGGAAGCUUUGAUCCUAAGAUGCUGUUGCACCUCAGGAGCUAUCUGCACCUGAAUCGCCCAAGACAAAUGGAUGUAUGGUACCUGUCGGAUGAGGAGGCGGGCAGCGGUGAAGGGGGUGAUCAGGAUGGCAACCGCACUUGCUACGCCACAGCUCUUGGUGACUCUGCUUCUCUCUGCACAGGCCCUGCCCUCUUUGCCCACGCUGGUGCACUCUUUUCCUUCUGUCAUGGGGCUGCAGCUGGCCAGGGAAUUGGUAGCAAAGGUUUGCCUCUCCCCGCCAGAUUUGUUGGAUGGGUGGCACGUUGUCCUCACCACCACCACCACCACCACAAACCAAUAAAUCCUAACCUGCAACUUCAGCCUGUUCAGUCUAGGCAGCUUGUUCAGCCAGCCCCUUGGACUCCCUCAGCCAGGAGUGAAGCAUAAGGCCACCCUGCUGCCAUCUGCCUUGACCCUCAUGCUGGGUCUCCCCCUCUUUGACUUUGAAGACUCCCUCUGAAGAAUAUUGCUCCAAGCUCAUAUUUUUCCUCAAAGAAAAAUCUGUGUCUUCCAAAGCGAGACACUCUUUCUUAGUGAAAAAACUGCUCCGGCCCCUCUCUUUGGAUCCGGGAGCCCAGCUCUGUAAUUGGAUACCAGCGCAUACCAAGAAAAAACUCAGCCAGUCAGAACAACUGGG